This 253-nucleotide ribosomal RNA is filed under the name uncultured prokaryote. RNAcentral describes it as "partial 16S ribosomal RNA". It matches the Rfam family "Bacterial small subunit ribosomal RNA", at positions 522 to 774 of the family's 1533-position model. The record is from RNAcentral.
AAUACAGAGGUCCCAAGCGUUGCUCGGAUUCACUGGGCGUAAAGGGUGCGUAGGUGGCGGGGUAAGUUUGAUGUGAAAUCUCCGAGCUUAACUCGGAAAUGGCAUUGAAUGCUAUUCUGCUCGAGGUUUGGAGGGGGGACUGGAAUUCUCGGUGUAGCAGUGAAAUGCGUAGAUAUCGAGAGGAACACCGGUGGCGAAGGCGAGUCCCUGGACAACACCUGACACUGAGGCACGAGAGCUAGGGGAGCAAACA